AUUGAACGCUGGCGGCAGGCCUAACACAUGCAAGUCGAGCGGAUGAAGGGAGCUUGCUCCUGGAUUCAGCGGCGGACGGGUGAGUAAUGCCUAGGAAUCUGCCUGGUAGUGGGGGAUAACGUCCGGAAACGGGCGCUAAUACCGCAUACGUCCUGAGGGAGAAAGUGGGGGAUCUUCGGACCUCACGCUAUCAGAUGAGCCUAGGUCGGAUUAGCUAGUUGGUGGGGUAAAGGCCUACCAAGGCGACGAUCCGUAACUGUCCUGAGAGGAUGAUCAGUCACACUGGAACUGAGACACGGUCCAGACUCCUACGGGAGGCAGCAGUGGGGAAUAUUGGACAAUGGGCGAAAGCCUGAUCCAGCCAUGCCGCGUGUGUGAAGAAGGUCUUCGGAUUGUAAAGCACUUUAAGUUGGGAGGAAGGGCAGUAAGUUAAUACCUUGCUGUUUUGACGUUACCAACAGAAUAAGCACCGGCUAACUUCGUG
This 484-nucleotide ribosomal RNA is filed under the name uncultured bacterium. RNAcentral's name for it is "partial 16S ribosomal RNA". It matches the Rfam family "Bacterial small subunit ribosomal RNA", at positions 30 to 507 of the family's 1533-position model. The record is from RNAcentral.